UGGGUAGUGUCCAGCAGCCUGAGCUGUGCGCUAGCGCCUUCCUGCACGAGGCGUGUAAAGGAAGAAAACCCAAUUGUCUGUGUCCAAAUUGUCUUAAAAAAACCCACCAAAACAACACAGUAGGCUAGAAGGCAAUAUGAGAUGGGGAAAUGCAAGGAAACGAGAAAAAAUUAUACUGCCGUGUUCUUAAAAUGGUGAAAUGUGGUGUGGGUGAAGGCAGAAUUUUUUGCGUCUUAGGUGGGGUGGGAGCAGGAGUGGAUUGAGAUCCACUCUGUCUAGGAAGAAUUUCCACACGACUAUUUCACUAUAAAGGGUCCUUUUCAGUAAUAACGUGUGGGUUGGUUAACAGGUGUUUUGAUCCUAAGCACUGUGGCAUAAAGAAAUAGUUAUUCAAAUUGUGUUUUUUCUUAUGCAACGAGGAAUUACUGAACUUACCGCUGAUUGUGCUUUGUGGAGUCUGCGUGUUGUGUUCUGCAUUAUAGUGUUGUGUUUUUUGUGGUUUUUUUUUUUUUCUCUAACCAGUUGUAGCCACUUUUAAGGGUGAGGCACCAGAGAAAACUCAGAGGAAGAUUUCCUCCUUUGGCUUGAACCAGGAAAGCAAACUCGGAUUGCCAAAGAUCAAAGUAUCAAAAGAAUCCGGUAACGUGAGAGCACCCACCGGCUCUAGAGCUGUGCCUGUCUUUCCCCUAGAGAUGGAGCCAGAGUGUGGAAGAUUCCAGUGCUCUAACUGCAAAUCUGAGGAUGAUGUGCCUUUUAAAUGUCCAUUAUGUGACUUCACUUGCUGCAAAACAUGCUGGGAGAAGUUCCUAAAGAUGGUGAAGAAGUGCCCAGAGUGCCACAGUGAUGUGAAGAAGCAGCGAUUAAUCCAAGUUUUCUUCUGGUCCCAAUCUCACUGACAGGAAGGACAAGUACUUUGCACCAGCAGGAAGAAAUCACUGCACUCUGGCUCUCGAGCUGAGCAGCAGCAGGAUGAAGGUUCAUGUAAAUAUCUUUGAUUCAUGCUGUGCACCAACACGUAUCGGUUCUUCCUACAAAGGUGAUCGAGUCUGAAAGGUCUCUCCUGCCAGUGGUUGGAGACAAAGCAGAAUAUUGUCCUCUGUUGGAGCUAAGAAGGUUAAUUUGUUAUUUUAGCCUGUAAAUUCUGCUGUGGCCACUCGGGCUGAAAUUUUCUAUCCUGGGGGUGACUGUCCCAGGCCCUUCAGGUAAUACCAGAUCCUGGAAAACCCCUGGUGAUGGCAGUAGAGUGGAGCCAAGCUGCCCAGACUCCCCAUCCUUACCCCCCUGGUGUUCCUGGAAGAAAUGAUUCACACUCGCUGUCUGGCAGCAUCUGCUGUCUCCAAUAGCAGAAGAUACUGAAAGGAUGACUUUAUUUUUUUAAAAACAAACCAAAUUCCCUUUGGUGCACCCCAAAGCCUGAUUCCUUCCAUCAUGCUGGGCUUUUUUUUUUUUUUUGCUUCUAAGGAGAUUUUAUUUCCUGCUCAGCACCGAUAUUACCAUUGUGCCUGCCUUAUCUGAUGUUUACUUUCCAACAUCAUAAAGGAACUAAUUGAUUUAAGAGUUUAAAAUAAAUCAACGUUAGAUGGGUUAAAAAAAAAAAUA
Athene cunicularia (burrowing owl) is the source of this 1599-nucleotide long non-coding RNA. NCBI's taxonomy places the organism in Eukaryota, Metazoa, Chordata, Aves, Strigiformes, Strigidae. The record is from Ensembl.